RNAcentral lists this ribosomal RNA (254 nucleotides) under uncultured bacterium. RNAcentral describes it as "partial 16S ribosomal RNA". It matches the Rfam family "Bacterial small subunit ribosomal RNA", at positions 524 to 776 of the family's 1533-position model. The record is from RNAcentral.
UACGUAGGGCGCAAGCGUUGUCCGGAAUUAUUGGGCGUAAAGAGCUCGUAGGCGGUGUGUCACGUCGUUCGUGAAAACCUGCAGCUUAACUGUGGGCGUGCGGUCGAUACGGGCAUCACUGGAGUUCGGCAGGGGAGACUGGAAUUCCUGGUGUAGCGGUGAAAUGCGCAGAUAUCAGGAGGAACACCAAUGGCGAAGGCAGCUCGCUGGAACGGUACUGACGCUGAGGCGCGAAAGCGUGGGGAGCGAACAGG